ACGGAGGGUGCAAGCGUUAUUCGGAAUUACUGGGCGUAAAGCGCGUGCAGGCGGGCGAGCAAGUCUGAUGUGAAAGCCCCGGGCUUAACCUGGGAAGGGCAUUGGAAACUGUUCGUCUUGAGUUCUGGAGAGGAAGAGGGAAUUUCCGGUGUAGAGGUUAAAUUAUUAGAGAUCGGGAGGAAGACCAGAGGCGAAGGCGCUCUUCUGGACGGCAACUGACGCUGAGGCGCGAAAGCGUGGGGAGCAAACAG
RNAcentral lists this ribosomal RNA (251 nucleotides) under uncultured prokaryote. RNAcentral describes it as "partial 16S rRNA". It matches the Rfam family "Bacterial small subunit ribosomal RNA", at positions 525 to 775 of the family's 1533-position model. The record is from RNAcentral.